CAGCUGUGCCAGCCUUUGCUGCCAGCAGAGCUGCUCCGUGCUCUGCCCAGCCUGGAGCCUCCUCCGGCCUGGCUGCAGCAGCUCCAGCUCCUUGCUGGGCUGGCCCAGGGCUGGGGCAGCUCUGCAGUUCAGACAUUAAAUAAUGCUGGUCCCAGUACAGACCCUGAGGGAUACCACUGGUCACUGCUGUCCAUCAGGGUUCUGACAUGUUGACCCCUACGCUAUCCUCUUUUGGUCACGGCCAUGUGAGGAGAGAGGAAUCUUAAAGAAUUUGCACAAGAGUGUCCAAGUCAUCUCUACCUGCUGACACAGUCUCUGUCAGACAAUCUGCCUCAUUUCUUCUAAUGGAGGAAAUUAUCAUCACUUUCAAAGAGAUUCCAUUGGAGAAUAUUUUAAGAACGGAGAAGCUCCCAAUGGGCUGGAGUGUCCAGUGUGCUCAGAACAGGAGAGGAACUGGAAAGGAAAUGUUGGAAGGGAAGAUGAUGUGGAAGAGAGAGGCAAGGAGUGAGUGAAGAAUAUUUGCAUCCAGAGGAAAAGCUUACUUCAGGAGUCUCUCCUGCUGCAGAUAUUCUCUCAUGGUGUUAUACCCCCUUAGAGGGAAAGUUCCAGGGGAAAAUGGCAAGACUACAAAGAGAAACUCUUUGCUAAACCUCAAAAGAAGCUGGAAGAUCUGAAAGAAUAUCCCACAUAGAGCUGGACAGAAAGCUUGCAGUUUUGUCUGAGGUCUUAUCCAGAGAAAGAGCUGCCACCAGAGUGCCCUAAGAGAGCUCUUGAUGUAGGUUUCUUGCCCCAGGCACAUUUGGGCUGGGUGCACAGAGAUUCAAAGAAAGAUCAGCCAGGAUCUCUGGGAAAAUCUGAUUUUUACAUGAAAGAACCAUGGUGAUCUGGAGACAGAACAGAGAAUAUGAGCGGAGAGUGUACUGGGGAGAGAUCCUGGCAAGAAGACAUGGUGAGGAGAGCUGUCUCGGUGUGGUCUUGCAGAUUCUUUUUAUUUGUCAGUUUAUUUGUGUUUAGU
Passer domesticus (house sparrow) is the source of this 1015-nucleotide long non-coding RNA. RefSeq lists it as uncharacterized. The transcript has 6 exons. The record is from RefSeq and is a predicted model, not a curated record. Lineage: Eukaryota; Metazoa; Chordata; Aves; Passeriformes; Passeridae.